GACGAACGCUGGCGGCGUGCUUAACACAUGCAAGUCGAACGGUGAACCUCUUCGGAGGGGCUCAGUGGGGAACGGGUGAGUGACACGUGGGCAACCUGCCCCCGGCCCUGGGUUAAGUCCAAGAUAAUGGGGCUAAUACUGGAUGAUCACCGCUUCCCGCCUGGGUGGGGGUGGAAAGGGUUUUCGGGGGGGGCUGGGCCCGCGGCCCCGCUGCUUGUUGGGGGGGUAGGGGCCUACCAGGCCGACGACGGGAAGCCGGCCUGAGAGGGUGGACGGCCACACUGGGACUGAGACACGGCCCAGACUCCUCCGGGGGGCAGCGGUGGGGAAUAUUGCGCAAUGGGCGGAAGCCUGACGCAGCGACGCCGCGUGGGGGAUGACGGCCUUCGGGUUGUAAACCUCUUUCAGCGGGGACGAAGCGCAAGUGACGGUACCUGCAGAAGAAGCACCGGCCAACUACGUG
This 463-nucleotide ribosomal RNA is filed under the name uncultured bacterium. RNAcentral's name for it is "partial 16S ribosomal RNA". It matches the Rfam family "Bacterial small subunit ribosomal RNA", at positions 28 to 507 of the family's 1533-position model. The record is from RNAcentral.